RNAcentral lists this ribosomal RNA (276 nucleotides) under uncultured prokaryote. RNAcentral describes it as "partial 16S ribosomal RNA". It matches the Rfam family "Bacterial small subunit ribosomal RNA", at positions 524 to 800 of the family's 1533-position model. The record is from RNAcentral.
UACGUAGGGGGCUAGCGUUAUCCGGAAUUACUGGGCGUAAAGGGUGCGUAGGUGGUUUCUUAAGUCAGAGGUGAAAGGCUACGGCUCAACCGUAGUAAGCUCUUGAAACUGUGAGACUUGAGUGCAGGAGAGGAUAGCGGAAUUCCUAGUGUAGCGGUAAAAUGCGUAGAUAUUAGGAGGAACACCGGUGGCGAAGGCGGCUAUCUGGACAGUAACUGACGCUGAGGCGCGAAAGCGUGGGGAGCAAACAGGAUUAGAUACCCGCGUAGUCCCUGA